CCUACGGGAGGCAGCAGUAGGGAAUAUUGCUCAAUGGGGGAAACCCUGAAGCAGCAACGCCGCGUGGAGGAUGAAGGUUUUCGGAUUGUAAACUCCUUUUGUUAGAGAAGAUAAUGACGGUAUCUAACGAAUAAGCACCGGCUAACUCCGUGCCAGCAGCCGCGGUAAUACGGAGGGUGCAAGCGUUACCCGGAAUCACUGGGCGUAAAGAGCGCGUAGGCGGGAUAGCAAGUCAGAUGUGAAAUCCUAUGGCUUAACCAUAGAACUGCAUUUGAAACUGUUAUUCUAGAGUAUGGGAGAGGUAGGUGGAAUUCUUGGUGUAGGAGUAAAAUCCGUAGAGAUCGAGAGGAAUACUCGUUGCGAAGGCGACCUGCUAGAACAUAACUGACGCUGAUGCGCGAAGGCGUGGGGAGCGAACGGGAUUAGAUACCCCUGUAGUC
This 440-nucleotide ribosomal RNA is filed under the name uncultured bacterium. RNAcentral's name for it is "partial 16S ribosomal RNA". It matches the Rfam family "Bacterial small subunit ribosomal RNA", at positions 338 to 795 of the family's 1533-position model. The record is from RNAcentral.